GUACAUAAGAUGUAUAACUUUUUCACAAGCAUUAACAUAGCUUCAAACACUAGAUAUUGAAAGACAUGAACCUAAUUCCAUGAGUUGGUGAACCUGCAGGAACUUUUCUACAGAAAAUGAAUGAAAAUGAAAUUGAGGAAAUGUUAGAUCACCUAAGAAGGAUCAAAAUUGAAGGUAACCUGGAUUUCUUCAAGAUUCGUUGUAUUGAGAGUCUUGAUAUUGUGCUAAGAGUUUUUAGAACCUUUAUAAAGUAUCNNNNNNNNNNNNNNNNNNNNNNNNNNNNNNNNNNNNNNNNNNNNNNNNNNNNNNNNNNNNNNNNNNNNNNNNNNNNNNNNNNNNNNNNNNNNNNNNNNNNGAAUCAUUUCCCUUGCUUGAAACACUUGUUAUAAAAAAGUGUGAUGACCUUGAGGAGAUCCCACUUAGCUUUGCUGAUAUUCCAUCAUUGAAACAGAUUAAGUUGAUUGGGUCUUGGAAAGUAUCUAUGGAGGCUUCAGCUGUGAGAAUUAAGGAAGAAGUCGAAGAGAUUGAAGGAUGUGAUCGUAUACACCUCGUCAAAGAACUGAUUGAAGGAUGUGACCGUAUAGACCUCCUCAAAGAAUACUGAAGUCUAUUUUGUUGCUAGCUCAUUUUGUUAUAUUGUAACACUAGUAGUGUUUGCUAUGUUUGUUUUGAUUGAUCAACUCUUUUUUAUGUAUGAUAUGAUUGGAGACAAAUAUACAUCAGAUCGUCUUUCACUAAUUUCGUGUUUUUAUGCAGCUUUAUAAUUUUGAUCAAUUUCUCUCCACUUACAUCUUCAUAGCUCAAUACACAUCAACCAUGUUGCUGUUGUUGUUGUUGAGUACUUCUUGAUUUUCUAAUUCGAUGAACAUCCGAAAAUUUUUAAGGUUAAACUGCUUCUUGUUGCUGUAGGUGCAAUAUUGAAGGAUCUCUUUAUUAUGUGUUCAGGUGCCUCUUUUAGAAGUUGAAAUUCAUACAGAAUGAAGCUAAUAAAUUUGUUCUUGUCAUUUAUCGAUCAUUUGGACUUUGCAACAUAUGAACUUAAGAUAUAGUAAAAAUAUAGUAUGACAUUCGAGUCCCCUCCGAAUACAGAGUCGUCUAUGUUAGGGAGCUCACCCCAAUGUGGGACUUUAUUACGUCGUGAAUCCAUUGUAUCGGGCUCCAAUGUGGGUACCGGACAUUGGGUGGAAACAAAAAAAUGUAUAUAGUACGACAUGAAAUGAAUAAAUAAGGGCAUUUGACCCUUGCGAACCAAAAAAAUCAAUCUUUUGUAUUAUGAUUGGGCUUGUUCUGAGAACAGACUCCAUUCACAAGAUAUAUGGAAGAAUUAUCACCACUCCUUUUUUAUCCUUGUUUGAUUUAUAACAUAUGAUUUAUCCUUUUUUGAAUUAUGUUUUUUUAAAAAAUAUAAAAACUUAUUCAUAAGUUUAUAUUUUGUAAAAAAAAACAAAUCAUUAUUUUCAGUUUUACAAAAAUAAACUCAUGUUCGACGUGAAUAAAUUGUUCGCCGUAUCAUGUGAAAGAAUUACUAAUUACUACUAUUGUUGACUAGUGGAUCUUUAUAAGUUUAUGUACAUUUGAAAGUUAAAAGAAACAUAAAGAUAUGUAAUUCAUCGAUGCGAUGCUUUAGAUAUUAUGAUAUCUUGUUAACGAAAUGAUUUACUCAUUCGGUAAGAUUGCAUAAGAAUUGAAUUUCAAAGUUUUCACAACUUGUGAAUUUUCAUAUUUAUGAGAAAAAAUAUAACUUCAUGUCCGACCCAAUACCCAACCAUAAAAUUCCUUAAUUAUAUGCUAAGCAAAUAUCAUAUAAGUGCAUAAUUUAACUAUGAAACUGCCAAACCAAAUAAAAUUUUGGGGGAUUUUCCUAAAGAGUCAUUUGGUGUGAAGUAUGAGGUAUAAUAAUUUUGGGAUAAAAUGCGGAAUUAUUUUAUCUUGUGUUUGGUUGGAGCCAUAUUAGGUAGUCCUCCGAUUAUGUAUCCCAUACCAUAGUGAUGGAAUAUAUAAAUUAUGAUCACAUAUACAUGAUGAAGUAACUUAUUUCGCGAUAAUUAAUCCCGAAAUAACUUGCUCCAACCAAACAACCCCUAAAGAAAAAGACAAAUAAUAUAGGUGUAUUAUUGAGUCACUUUACAGCUACCAACUUAAUUCAUCUCUUGUUAGGUAUAAGAAUUGUUGACACCCAAUUUUGACCCUCCCCGAUAAUAAUUAGUUUCUGAGUCUCUUAAUUUCCAAACGAUUUAGAAUAAUUAGCUUUUAAAAAAAAUUCGAAUAGUUUCAAGGUUAUUUUAAGUAUUUUCAAUCAGUUUUAAUAGUGUUUCGAAUAAUAAAUAUAUUUCAUAUAAUUAUAUACGUAAGUAGUAUAUUUUAUAAGUGUUGGAAAAUCAUAUCAAAAGAUUUUUUUUUACUCGGUUUAAAUAAAUAUUUUAGUUAUUUAAUUCUAGUUUGAAUUAUGGUUUCAAUUUUGAAUUAAUGAGUUUAUAGGCAAAUCGAUUAGUUUAUGGUUAAGUUAAUUAUUUUAUUCCGUUAAGAUCAAAGAGCUCAUAAAUUAAUUAUGUUAAUUUGUCUUAUUUAAAUUGCUAGCCGAAUUUAUUCAAACUAAUCCAAUAUGGCUACAUCUUUAAUUUUCGAUUGGCUAUAAUUUAAAUCAUAUGACCAAAGCUUAAUUUAAUUCUCACCAAAUUAAUUUGUUUUCACCAAGACCCAUCUUAAGGGACCAAAUUUGGGCCUUUCCAGCAGCCCAUCCUUUCAACUCCUUUGACCCAACUCCCAUUUAUUUUCCAACAGCCCAAUUCCCAGCCCCAUCUCCCUUAAUUAACAGCCCAAACCAAUUAUUCCCAGCACAGCGACCCGGCCCAAUUCCUCCCAUCAGUAAAGAGACCCAUAUGCUCAAUGUUAACAUCAACUCCUAAAAACAUCAGCAGCAACAACAGUCCAAACACGACAAUGGCAAAGAAUACACGGCGAUUCACGGAAGCUACACGGCAUCCAAUUUCGUCGUUUCUCUUUUGCCGCCAGUAGGUCGUACAGCACCUGCCAGCACGCGUUUUCUUCCCUUUCCUCUUCCGGAAAGGGUUGAAACUUCAGGGGAAAGGUGUUUCAUCGAAAAGGUGAAAGUUUUUUUUUUUGAGUUUGAAAUUUCAAAUUGGCCCUUUGAAUCCGAAUUUUCAUCCCUUUCCCCCCAAAAUGCGAACCCGAAUUCUCCACUAUAAAUACCCUAUUCUUCUACUGAUGGAGGGGGAUUUUUUUUUUUUUUGAGUGGAGGAUUUUGGUUGGAAAUUUUAGGAUAAGAAAGAGGGGCGUUGGUUUUGGACAUCUGAUAAACUAGCAAAUAGAGAGAAUAGUUGAACAGAAGCAUUUCGAAAUAACUUCGAAAAGAUCUAAGUCGUCUAUUAGUUCGGUUCCUCUUUCUCGUGUUGUCGGAGUCUGCCGAAGUGUUCGGAAUCCCUUUCAGUGGUGAAAACUUNNNNNNNNNNNNNNNNNNNNNNNNNNNNNNNNNNNNNNNNNNNNNNNNNNNNNNNNNNNNNNNNNNNNNNNNNNNNNNNNNNNNNNNNNNNNNNNNNNNNNNNNNNNNNNNNNNNNNNNNNNNNNNNNNNNNNNNNNNNNNNNNNNNNNNNNNNNNNNNNNNNNNNNNNNNNNNNNNNNNNNNNNNNNNNNNNNNNNNNNNNNNNNNNNNNNNNNNNNNNNNNNNNNNNNNNNNNNNNNNNNNNNNNNNNNNNNNNNNNNNNNNNNNNNNNNNNNNNNNNNNNNNNNNNNNNNNNNNNCGAAUUCGGAUUCGGAUUCGGAUUCGGAUUUGGAUUUGGAUUUGGCAAAUGAUUGAUUGAUAAUAUUUUUGGACUAAAAUUUAUUUAAUCAAUCUUGUUAAAUCAUUUCCUUUUCUCUUUAUAAAUUAAUUCAGAAUGUUGGUUAACUAACAGAAUUAAUUUUGGCGCAACUGAAUUUAUUUGAAAUUCAUGUGUAACGGUAAUCCUUCCGAAAAGUCGUUACUUUCCGAAAAGUCGUUACUUUUCCAAACGGUUUUCCUUCCGAAAAAUCGUUACUUUUCCCAAAGGACACAAUGUUCUGGAAAAAAACGGGUCUUUUCUGAACAGACGCGUUCCUUGCUGCAUAUGGCUAUAAAUAAGAGAUCUUUUUCGUUUUUUUAAAAACACUAAAAAAAUUUUCCUCUCUGCAUACAUUUUCUCUCAUAAAUAAAAUUGUCGAUCGACAGAGUCUGUGUGUGCUCUUGUUACUGUUCUUGCGUUCGCUGAAGUUAUUGAAGUUUUGAGAUACCGCUACUUCUUUAACAGGUUAAUCCGUUUUAUCUUGGGAGAAAUUAAUCUGCAACCUCGGGUACAGUGAGGGGAUUAAAUUUCUUAAGGAAACACAGUGGUUUCUGUUGGACUCGGAUUAAAACUAAUUCUGUCUGUUUCAUCUUUUUUCUGUUUCUGUAUUUUUUGACUAACCUGGACACAGGAGAUAACAAACUUGUCCUUGCUGUCUCCCUGCUCAAUAUUGCCCCGGUUCAGCUGCCCGCAACAAGGUAAUCAACUCGUAAUCCCUUGGUUGUCUUAAGUUCACUGUGUCGGUUUAGUGUAUUAUUCCUUGGGGAUUUUGAGAUGAGCUUAUAUGGUAUGUUCAGUUUGAUAUUAUUCUCUUCAUCUUAUUGUUGCUGAAAUGGGGUAACGCGCGUUCAUUUUCAAGAUGGAUUAACGCUCGUUUGGGCUUAUAUCUCUGUAUGCGCUCUUCUUGAAUUUAUGACCGUGAUGCUCACCUUAAAUCUGUCUCGUCCAUUUGCUAACCUAUGAGAUGCUGUCCUGUUCCUUUCUUACAGUGAUUUUCAUAUCUUGUUACAUGUCUUGAAAGUGUCAAAGGAUUUGUCUCACUAUCCUUGAGUUUAUUUUCGAGUUUAGAUCGCUAGUGUUGCCUAAAUCAGUCAAGUUUAAUUUUAUUGCAGUUGUCUUGUGACUUAAUGUGAUCCUUCCAUUUCUUUUUAUUUUAUUUUUUAUUAUUACUUUAUUUGGCUUUGUCUACUGUUAUUAAAUGCUAUCCCCAUCUAGUUCAAGUGUAUAAUUUUUAGAAAAUGUGUGCACAGCUCCAUUUGCUUGGAGUAAAAAUAUGAGUAGUCCUUUGCAUUCAAAUGAGUUCUUUUUUUUAUAUAGAGCGAUGCUGCUUGAUGUCUAUAUUUCUUUAAUUAAGCCGAAAUUUUGGAUUUGUUUCCGGCAUAAGUUUAAAGUCUAGACUAGGGUCGUUCCUGUUUUAGUGUUAAUCUCAUAGGAACACAUAAGGUGAUGUCUUUAAUUUUAUUUGGAUCUAUAAUGUGGUUUACAUAUAUAUAUAUAUAUAUAUAAUUAUGCUAUGCAUUGUAUGUUUUUCCAGCUGCUUUAAAAGUUCCAUUUACUAAUUCGUUUCUUUCUUUUCUUUUGUUAUGAAUCGCGUUCGAGUCCCUUUUGGACUCCCUCUUUGCAUAUCCUCGAGUCUAAGCUCGAUUCUGCUUCGUCGAUCCAAUAAAGUUGAAAAAGAAGCUAAAAUACAGGGUAAAUGGAAGCAAAAAACGCAGGGAAAGGCUGGUAUACACUGGUAUACAGAUUUUGUAUACAUGGUAUACACGGAAAAAGCAGCGAUAUACAGGUCCAAAAAUCGAAACAGCUGUUCUGGAAGUUGGAUUAGGUUGUAUACAUUUGGUAUACGGCCUUAUAUACAAAAAAAUGGGCUAGAUUCAUACGAUAUACACUGGUAUACAACCAGUGUAUACAAAAAGGGGAUUGAGCCUAAGCCCCAAUUUCAGCGAAUUUGGCCCAAAAGGAGGCCCAAAUUCAAUUUCUCCCUACUCUUUAAUUAUUUAAUUAUGAUUAUUUAUUGUUUAUUGCGUGUUGACUCUAACUUUUAAAUUGUUAACUAACCUAAUUAAAUUCCCCAAACGAUAAAUUAAUUUUUUUUUUACAUUGGCUUACCUUUAAUACAUUCUUAUAUUUGUUUUUGUUUUAUCUUACUAAUCAAAUAUAUUGGCCAUGUUUCAUUUUAAUUAAAUCUUUUGUUUUUUUUUUUGUUUUUUUUUAAAAAUGACAUGUUUUGAAUGCCUCUUCCUUUAAUCAUUUUGCUUAUUUAAAUGGUUUUAAGUUAACACUUUUCUCAAAUGAACUAAAAUAAAAUAAAAUUGUGUGUGUUCUCUUUUUAUCAAUUGAUUUAAAAUGAUCUCAUGCUUUAAUUGGUUCAAAUUAUUAUCUUAAAAAAUGGAUUAAAUAAAUUUUAAUUAAUCUAGUUUUAUCAAAAUUCUAAUCACUUGUAUUUCGAGUCAAAUGUUCCAUUUUGGAUCCCUUUCUCUAACUGUUUAAAUCUUUUGAAAACCAUAAGUAUUUUUUCUUGAUUUUUUACUAAAAAUUAAGUGGCGACUCUGUUCUUUUGAAGAUUCGAUUUCUCUUAAACCAUAAGUUUAAUCGGUUUUUCGAAAACUAAGUCAUUUUCCUUUUACAUAUAUUUUUAAAUAAAAAAAGAAUUAUUAUAGAGAGAGAAGAAGACUCUUCCUUCUUCCUUCAAACCUUCAUCCAUUUUAUUUCAAUAAACUUUUUUCUUGUUUCACCUAUUAUGUAAAUUUGGAAAUAUAUCUUUGUUGGAAUCCAAAUCUGAGAAUUAUUACUCUCUGGUUUACCUUAUAAUGUUUGUUUUUCUCUAUUGCUCCCUUUUAUGAUAGGAUCAGAAAUUGAAGAUACUUGUUAACUAACGGUAAGUCAUCUUUUUCCCAUACACACAUAAUUAGAGAGUUGAUUUCUCAAAUGGUCCACUCAACUAAUAGUUACUAUCUCAUAAAUGAAAACGAGAAAAAAGACGAUUUUAUGCGAUAAUAAUUGUUAGUUAAAUGACAAUACGAAAAGGGUAAAUAAGAUGUAAAAUUAUAGAUAUUUAUAACUUUUCAAAAGCAUUAAGAUGGCUUCAAGAACCUGAUUUCAAAAGUUGGUGAACUUGCAGGAAUUUUUCUACAGAAAAUGGCUGAAAAUGAAAUUGAAGAAAUGUUAGACCACCUGAGAAGGAUCAAGAAUGGAGGUAAUCUGAAUUGGUUCGAGAUAUUUCUAAUUAAGGAACUUGAAAUGGUACUAAGAGUUUUUAGAACGUUUAUAAAGUAUCAUGAUGUUCUUUUGCCUGAUUCCUUAGUCGAACUCAGAAAGAGUGCCAAAUUGACUGGGGAAAUACUUCACCGGGUAUUGGAUAGGAUUCCAUAUAAAUGUAAAACAAACCUUAAUCUGGAAAGGCUAGAAUCACAUUUGUUGGAAUUCUUUCAAGGUAAUACCAGUUUAAGUUACACUUAUGAGUUGAAUGAUUUUGAUCUGUCGAAAUAUAUGGAUUGUCUGGAAAAAAUUCUAAAUGAUGUAUUGAUGAUGUUCGUGGAUAAGGGUAGGUCCUGCCAUUCCAAAAAAAAACUUGCAAUACAUCGAUCUAUAAAGGAACUGAAAAUUGUUCAAAAGAAAAUGAGAAUUUUGAAAUACAUAUAUGCCACAGAGAUAAAUGGUUAUGUCGACUAUGAGAAGCUGGAAUGUUUGGAGACUCGAAUUCAGUUCAUGACUAACAAUGUGGGACAAUAUUGUUUGGCCGUAUUAGAUUAUGUUGCUGAGGGUGAAGUUAAUGAAGAAAAUGACAUCUUUAGUAAACCUCCUUAUCUAUUAUCAUUGAUUGUGUUUGUGGAGCUGGAAAUGAAGAAAUUACCAAAAGUAUUUUCACAUCAUCUCCACAAUCUGCUGAUGUAUCUCAGAAACAAAAAGCUCGAGAACUUUCCUAAUAAUAACUCUGCUCAAAAUAUUGAUGUGGCAAUAGAGUUCUUGUUGGUUUUCCUUGAUGCUGAUGUGUCAAAUCAUGUUACUAAUGGUAACUGGUUGAAUGAGAUCUUGUUAAAGGUUGGAGCUAGAGCGGGUGAUAUUCUAUAUGUAAUUCAAAAGCUUCUUCCUAGAUCUAUAAACAAAGAUGACACUAGCAAAAUAAGUCUUUGCUCAAUACAGAUAUUGGAGAAGACUAAAGAUCUGAAGGAACAAGUUGAGAUGUACUACAAAUCCUUGAAAUUUACUCCAUCUUAGUUCCCCACCUUUGGUGGAUUGAGCUUUUUGGAUUCUCUUUUAAGGAAACUGAAUGAGAUGUCGAAAUCUAAGUCUGGUUUAGAUUUCCUGAUGAAACCACUUUUAGGGGAUUUGGAGAAAGAGCUAUCAUCUCUUACAUCCAUUUUAGAGAAGGAGCUAUCAUCCAUUUUCAGAGAUGUCGUGCACCAUGAACAUAAAAUUCCUAAAAGAUCUUCAGAGACGUACCAUCAAUUUGGCAUAUGAGGCUGAGGUUGCCAUUGACUCUAUUCUUGCUCAGUAUAAUGCUUUUUUGCAUAGUUUUUGCUCACUUCCUACAAUUUUAAAAGAGAUCAUGCAAAUUAAUGCAGAGGUGACUGAGAUGUGGUCAACGGACAUUCCUCUUAAUCCUCACUACGUGGCUGCUCCAUUUAAACAUCUACCAGCUCAACAUAGCAAUCCUGUGACUGAUGAGGAGGUAGUGGGUUUUGAGAAUAAAGCAGAAGAACUAAUUGAUUAUCUGAUUAGAGGUACAAAUGAGCUAGACGUCGUCCCAAUUGUAGGCAUGGGGGGACAAGGGAAAACGACAAUUGCUAGAAAGUUGUACAAUAAUGACAUCAUUGUUUCUCACUUUGAUGUUCGAGCAUGGUGCAUCAUUUCUCAAACAUAUAGCCGAAGAGAGCUAUUACAAGAGAUUUUCAGUCAAGUUAUGGGCUCCAAGGACAAGGAAGAUGCGGUAGGCGAACUUGCUGACAGGUUGAGGAAAAGCCUAAUGGGAAAGAGAUAUCUCAUUGUAUUGGAUGAUAUGUGGGAUUGUAUGGCAUGGGAUGACUUAAGGCUUUCUUUUCCAGAUGUUGGAAUGAGAAGCAGAAUAGUCGUAACAACUCGACAGUGGGUAAGCAAGUCAAGUACCAUACUGAUCCUUAUUCUCUUCCAUUCCUCACAACAGAAGAGAGUUGCCAAUUGUUGCAGAAAAAAGUGUUUCAAAAGGAAGAUUGCCCGCCUGAACUACAAUAUGUGAGUCAAGCAGUUGCAGAAAAAUGCAAAGGACUCCCCCUAGUGGUUGUCUUGGUAGCUGGAAUAAUCAAAAAAAGGAAAAUGGAAGAAUCUUGGUGGAAUGAGGUGAAAUAUGCUUUAUUUGACUAUCUUGAUAGUGAGUGCGAAGAAUAUAGUCUGGCGACUAUGCAGUUGAGUUUUGAUAACUUACCCGAUUGUUUAAAGCCUUGUCUUCUUUAUAUGGGGAUGUUUUCGGAGGACGCAAGAAUUCCAGCAUCUAAAUUGAUAAGUUUAUGGAUUGCUGAAGGAUUCGUGGAGAACACUGAAUCUGGGAGAUUAAUGGAAGAGGAAGCUGAAGGUUACUUGAUGGAUCUCAUUAGCAGUAACGUGGUAAUUGUUUCAAAGAAAGGUUAUAAUGGUAAAGUCAAAUGCUGCCAGGUUCAUGAUGUUGUGCAUCACUUUUGCUUGGAGAAGAGUAGAGAAGAAAAGUUUAUGCUUGCAGUGAAGGGUCAAUAUAUCCAGUUUCAACCCUUGGAUUGGAAGGGAAGUUGAGUAAGCUUCAGUUUCAGUGAAGAGCUUUCCAAGUUUGCAUCUCUGGUUUCCAAAACACAGAAGCCUUUCCACCAACACUUGAGGUCUCUGAUAAUGAUAAAUAAUGUAGUAUCUUUUGAUAUGAUUCCCUUCUGUUGGAUUAGUGAAAUGCGACUUCUUAAAGUCUUGGAUUUGAGUUCUUACAGUGUGCUGUUUUUGUCGUUAGCUGCAUUCAAACCACUAAAUCAGCUGAAGUACCUCGCAGUUUGGGCAGGUGAAUUCUAUUUUGAUCCAGGAUCACAUCUGCCCCAUAUAGAAACUUUAAUUUUGAAGAAUUUUCCUAUUGUACGGUUACCAGUGUCUUUUUUGUAGAUGGAAAAAUCAAGGCAUGUUGAGAUUAGGGAAGCUGAAUUUGAUAAGCAGGGAUUCUUUGAAGGAUCCUCUAAAUUGGAAAAUUUGAGGAUAUUAAAGAAAAUUGUUGGAUUUCCAAUUGAUAGGUUGGAUGUGUUAUCAAGGAGCUGUCCUAAUCUUCAACAACUUCAUAUCAAAUUUGAGGAUGAUGAAGAGCCUUUUUGUCCCAAAUUGGAGAAUCUUACCCAGCUUCAAGAGCUUCAACUUUCCUUUGUGCAUCCCCGCAUUCUAUCCGGGUUACAGUUGCCUUCAAAUUUAAAACAAGUUGGUACUUGAAGGAAUUCAUAUAGAAAGUGCUAUUUCCUUCAUUGCGGAACUACCAAGCCUGGAGUAUCUCCAAUUACAAGAUGUGUGUUUUCCUCAAUCAGAAGAGUGGUGCCUGGGAGAUAUCACGUUCCAUAAACUUAAGUUGUUGAAACUGGUGCAGUUAGGUAUCUCAAGGUGGGAUGCCUCGGAGGAAUCAUUUCCCCUGCUUGAAACACUUGUUAUAAAAAUGUGUGGCGACCUAGAGGAGAUACCCCUUAGCUUUGCAUAUAUUCCAACGCUGAAACAGAUUAAAUUGAUUGGGUCCUGGAAAGAAUCUCUGGAGGAUUCAGCUGUGAGAAUGAAGGGAGAAAUCGAAGAGAUUGAAGGAUGUGAUCGUAUACACCUCGUCAAAGAACAGUCAGAUUGGUGAGGGUUUUAAUAGCUAAUUGUUGCAGCCAUGCUCAUACAGAAGUAUAGCCCAUUUUCUUUUAUUGUAACAUUACUACUAUUUGCUAUGUUUGUUUUUAUUGAUAAACUCUUUUUAUGUAUGAUUGGAGACAAAUAUAUAUCUGUUGGUCUUUCACUGAUUUCUUGUUUUUAUGCAGCUUUAUACUUUUGACCAAUUUCUCUCCACUUACAUCAGAUCAACCAUGUUGUUGUUGUUGAGUACUUCUUGAUUUUCUAUUUUGCUGAACUAUCCAGAAAAGCUUAAGGUUAAACUGCUUCUUGUUGCUUGAGGUGCAAUGAAUUUCAAAGUUUGGACAAAUCCUUUUUUGUGUCCUUUGAUAUAAAGCCAUCAAGAAAAUCCUUCUUAGAACAGAAUUCUCUUGUAUGAGUAGUUGGUUCGUGGUUGAACUAACACGCACAAUCAUUUCGCUCCUGAGUUGUCCGCUUGGGACCAGAGAACUGGUGUUAACACACCAAUUCUAAUCCACCUAACAUAGACCAAAAUCAAAACUCUCUAUUAGGUGCAGCUUUUUGAAGUGCGAUUUCUGAUACUUUUUACAUCGUUCUAGUGUUAGAAAUUUCCACUGAACUUCAAACUGAUCUAAUUGUAUAGACGAGAGGGAGUUGCUCGGAUGGUAAGCACCCCUCACUUCCAACCCGAAGGUUGUGAGUUCGAGUCACCAAGGGAGCAAAAGGGGUGGGAGCUCCUAGGGAGGGUUAAAAAAAAAAAAUAAAAAAAAAAAAUCUAAUUGUAUAAUCCUCUUCUGUAAAUUGAGUGACUUUCUUUUGGGGUAUGGUGAAAGUUUAAGUAGCCAACCAAUUGAGCUAGUACAUGCUUUGUUGGAUAAUUUAAAAUAUUUGUACUAAUUAGUAUGGAACACGCGUGUUUGAUGACUAGUUAUUGAUACAAGCACAUAUAAAUUAUGCUUGAUUUACCAUUUCCUAUAGAAAGAAUGAAUACAUAAAAUGAAAAUUAUCGUAAGGUCUACGAUGUACGUAAUUUGAAUAGGUCAAUAGGAAUGAAACUCAGGAAGUUGUGGUACAAUUACCACAAUUAAUUAAUUAAGCAAUAAUUGUUGUUUAGUCUUCAUCCUACCAUUAUUAAUAUUUCAGAGCUCAUAUUAUCAGUCAAUAAGCCAAUAGGAAAGAAACGAUAACAAGUAUAUAAGUUAUAAUAAAGCAAUAAUUGUUCGCAGUGGCGAAUUUAGGUGCAAAAAAUAGGGCACCCGAACCCGUGGUCUCUUCGUAAAAUUAGAUAUUUUAUGUAUAUAUUUUCUAACAUUUGUAUAAUAUUAUAUUCUUGCACCCGUACUAUAAAAAUUUUAGUUGAUCCACAUGGUUAAAUGUUGAGCUUUUGACUUUGAGGACUAAAGAUCAAUUCCCACUUAAUACAUUUUUCUUGGUGCACCCAUGUUCGGAUCAUCCUAGAUUCGCCUCUGAUUGUUGGUUACCUAGUAUUAGAUAAAUUAUUUAUGCAAAAAGUCAGAGCUCAUACAUACACUCUGAUUGUGCCUUUUUAAACUUGAAUUAUUCUUUGAUCUUAUCAGCUAUCUCUCUACAAGACAACACCUUGUGGCUGCAGGCAAAUUGAAUUCAUGGUCAUUGAGGUGAGUUUUUUUUAACGUACCUCCUACGAUUUUUAGAAAAUUUUCAAGAAAUUAUUUAUCCACAGUAAUUGUUUAUAUCAAGCCAUGAAAAUUUAUGAUAGUUAAGUGGUUUAAUGCGGUGAGAUUGCAUGUUAAUUACCGAAUUUGGUGGCUUAAAGGAAAGAGAGCUGAGUAACUUCGCCCACCAAGGCUUAAACAAAUAGGAAAGGAAUCACCUACUUCUAUCAUUUUUUCUCCGCUGGUGUGAACCUGAGACUUCGUGGUUCUCCAUCCAUUUUAUUGGGCUACAAGGUCACACUGUUGGAUGCAACGUUAUAUCUGAAAAUUCGUGGGCAUAUAUUGUUGAUCUGAUCAUUUCUAUGACUUCUGUUUUUAUCUUACUCUUGAAUCUUUAGAACUUUUCUUCGGUGGAACUUAAAUGUAAUUUUACUUAUAGUUAUCAUUUCCUUUGUUUCUUUCUAGAAUUGAAUACGAAAUUGGAGAUAUAAAAAAGGAGAUAGGAGACAAAAGUACGCGCUUGAGUGAUUGUAAGACUUGAGCUGAACUUGUGUUAGGUACUUUCCUUCUUUUGCAAAUCGUUAAGUUGGUUUCAAUUAUUAGCUGAAGUGAAAAAAUGUACUGAACUUGCGGGAAUUUUCUACUAUAUUUUCAGGAAAAUGGCUCAAAUUAAUGACAUUGACGAUGUGUUAUAUCACCUAAGAAGGAUCAAGAGUCAAGGUGAUCAGAGUAGCAUCAAGAUUGAUCAGAUUGAGAAACUUGAAAUGGAGCUAAGAAUGUUUAGAACCUUUAUAAAGUAUUAUCAUAUUCUUUUGCAUGAUUUCUUUGUCAAACCCACAAAGAUCGCCAAAUUGAUCGUGAAAAUGCUUCACCGGGUAUUUGAUGGAAUUCCAUAUGAAUGUAAAACUAACCUUGAUCAGGAAAGACUGGUAGCACAGUUAUUGAAUUUCAUAGAUGAAGGUAAUUCCAGUUUGAGGUACAAUUAUGAGUUCAUGAAUGAUUCUUAUCUAUCAGAUUAUAUGGAUUGCCUCGGAAAGAAUCUAAAUGAUGUACUGAUAAUGUGCCUGAAAUUGGAUAGGUCUGAUCCUUCUUGGACGAAUGAAAAAAUCCUUCACUAUAAUCGAUUUAUAAAGCAACUGAAAAUUGUUCAAAAGAAAAUGAGAUUUUUGAGAUACUUAUAUGCCACAGAGAUAAAUGGUUACAUCGACCAUGAGAAGCUGGAAUGUUUGGAGACUCGAAUUCAGUUCAUGGCUAAUAAUGUGGGACAGUUUUGUCAUGCUUUUUCGAUUAAUGUAUCUGAGUUUGAAGAUGAUACAGAUGAGGAUGAGGAUGAGGAUGACAAGGAUGAGCAAGAAUACAUGAAUAAACCUCCAUAUCUGUUAUGUCUAAUUGAGCUAGUGGAGAAUAGUCAUUGCACUAGUAGCGUCUACGAGCCUCCCGCUUCGGUACCAUCUCCUUUUUUACCAGCCGAGCUGCCCUGAAAUGAAGAAGAUUUUUCUUGGUGAGCUAAAGGCUUCAAAGUUCACUCAGUUAGAAACUUUCAAGAACAAGAAAUUACCAAAAGGAUUUUCACAUCAUCUCCGUAGUCUGCUGGUGUAUCUAAAAAACAAAAAGCUCCCAAUCUUUCCUACUAAUGUCUCAACCCAAAAUAUUGAUGUGGCAAUAGAUUUCUUGUUUGUGUUUCUUGAUGAUGAUGGGUCAAAUCAUGCUAUUAAUAGUAAGAUGAUGAAUGAGGUCUUCGAAAAGGUUGUAACCAUAGUGGGUGAUGUUCUAUAUGUAAUUCAAAAGCUUCUUCCUAGAUCUGUAAACAUAGAUGACAUGACUAGCAAAACAAAUAUUUGCUCGAUACAGAUAUUGGAGAAAAUUAAAGAUCUGAAGGCACCAAUGGAGACGUACUACAAAUCCUUAAAGUUCAGUACUCCAUCUCAGUUUCCCACUAUUGGUGGAUUGAGUUUUCUGGCUUCUCUUUUAAGGAAACUGAAUGAGAUGUCGAAAUCUAAAUCAGGUUUAGAUUUCCUGAUGAAGCCUCUUUUUGGUAACUUGGAGAAAGAGCUAUCAGCCCUGACAUCCAUUUUAGAGAAGGAGUUGUCAUUUUUAUCAUCCAUUUUCAGAGAUAUCGCAAAGGUGCACCAUGAACAUGAAAUUCUGAAAGCUCUUCACAGGCAUACUAUCAAUUUGGCAUAUGAAGCUGAAGUUUCCAUUGACUCUAUUCUUGCUCAAUAUAAUGUUUUUUGGCAUAUUUUCUGCUCACUUCCUGCAAUCUUGAAAGAGAUUAAGCAAAUCAGUUCGCAGGUGACUAAGAUGUGGUCAGCAGACGUUGCUCUUAAGCCUUGCUAUGUGGUAGCGCCAUCUAAACACCUGCCAACUCAACAUAGCAAUCCAGAGACUGAUGAGGAGAUAGUAGGUUUUGGGAAAGACACAGAAAAAAUGCUUCAGUAUCUGAUUAGAGGUACAAAUGAGCUAGACGUCGUCCCAAUUGUAGGCAUGGGGGACAAGGGAAAACCACAAUUGCUAGAAAGUUGUACAAUAAUGACAUCAUUGUUUCUCGCUUUGAUGUUCGAGCAUGGUGCAUCAUUUCUCAAACAUAUAGCCGAAGAGAGCUAUUAAAAGAGAUUUUCAGUCAAGUUACGGGCUCCAAGGACAAGGAAGAUGAGGUAGGCGAACUUGCUGACAGGUUUAGGAAAAGCCCAAUGGGAAAGAGAUAUCUCAUUGUAUUGGAUGAUAUGUGGGAUUGUAUGGCAUGGGAUGACUUAAGGCUUUUCUUUUUCCAGAUGUUGGAAUGAGAAGCAGAAUAGUCGUAACAACUCGACUUGAAGAAGUGGGUAAGCAAGUCAAGUACCAUACUGAUCCUUAUUCUCUUCCAUUCCUCACAACAGAAGAGAGUUGCCAAUUGUUGCAGAAAAAAGUGUUUCAAAAGGAAGAUUGCCCGCCUGAACUACAAUAUGUGAGUCAAGCAGUUGCAGAAAAAUGCAAAGGACUGCCCCUAGUGAUUGUCUUGGUAGCUGGAAUAAUCAAAAAAGGAAAAUGGAAGAAUCUUGGUGGAAUGAGGUGAAAGAUGCUUUAUUUGACUAUCUUGAUCAUGAGUCGGAAGAAUAUAGUCGGGUGACUAUGCAGUUGAGUUUUGAUAACUUACCCGAUUGUUUAAAGCCUUGCCUUCUUUAUAUAGGGAUGUUUCCGGAGGACGCAAGAAUCCCUGUGUCUAAAUUGAUAAGUCUAUGGAUUGCGGAAGGAUUUGUGCAGAACAUUGAAUCAGGGAGAUUGAUGGAAGAGGCAGCUGAAGGUUUCUUGAUGGAUCUCAUCCACAGUAACGUAGUAAUGGUUUCAAAGAGAGAAUAUAACGGGAAAGUCAAAUACUGCCACGUUCAUGAUGUAGUGCUUCACUUUUGCUUGGAGAAGAGUAGAGAAGAAAAGUUUAUGUUGGUUAUGAAGGGAAAUUGUAGCAAAUUUCAACCUUUUGAUUGGAAGGAAAGUCGAAUGAGGUUCAUUUUGACUGAAAAGCUUUCAAAGUUUGCAUCUCUGGAAUCCAAAACACGGAAGUCUUUCCACCAACACUUGAGGUCACUGAUAAUGACAAAUGGAUUACUAUAUUUUAAUUGGAUUGUCUUCCCUCAGGUUAGAGAAAUGAGACUUCUUAAGGUCUUGGAUUUGACUUCCUUUGAUGUCAAAUACUUGUCGUCAGCUACAUUGAAACCACUGAUUCACCUGAAAUACCUUGGAGUUAGCGCAUGUGAAUUUUAUUUUCAUCCUGAACCACAUCUUUCCCAUCUUGAAACUUUAAUUGUGAAGGAUUUAUUAUUCAGGUAUACAGAGUUACCAGAUAUUUUUUGGAAAAUGGAACAAUUAAGGCAUGUUGAUAUUAAUAAAGCUGAAUUUUAUUUGGAAGAGGGGAUGAUUGAAGAAUCCUGUAAAUUGAAUAAUUUGAGGAUAUUAAGGCGAGUUCGAAUUUACAAUGCUGCUAGUGAGGAUGUGUUAAUACAGAGUUGUCCUAAUCUUCAACAACUGUACAUCACAUUUGAGGAGAGUGUACCUGGAGAGCCUUUCUGUUUCACAUUGGAGAGUCUUAUCCAGCUUCAAAUACUUAGCCUUUCCUGUGAUUGUUGUCUCUCAGGUUUACAGUUGCCUUCGAAUUUAAAAAAGUUGGUACUAAGAGGGAGUAAUAUAGAAAGUGCAAUUCCCGUCAUUGCAGGACUACCAAGCCUGGAGUAUCUCCAAUUAUGGAACUCAGAUUAUUUUCAAUCAGAAGAGUGGAGCCUCGGAGAUAUCACAUUCCAUAAACUUAAGUUGUUGAAAAUGGUGUUCUUACGUAUCUCAAGGUGGGAUGCCUCAGAUGAAUCAUUUCCCCUGCUUGAAACACUUGUUAUGAAAAAGUGCACUGAGCUAGAGGAGAUCCCCCUUAGCUUUGCCGAUAUUCCAUCAUUGAAACAGAUUAAGUUGAUUGGAUCCUGCAAAGAAUCUCUGGUGGCUUCAGCUAUGAAAAUUAAGGAAGAAGUCGAAGCUAUUGAAGGAUGUGACCGUCUUAACCUCUUCAAAGAACAGUCAGAUUGGGGAGAAUUUUGAUAGCUAAUUGUUGCAGCCAUGCUCAUCCUCUUAUAUUGUAACACUAGUACUGAUUGUUAAGUUUGUUUUGAUUGAUCAACUCUUUUUAUGAUUGGAGAUAAAUAUAUAUCAGAUGGUCUUUCACAACCUGUCAAAUCAUUGUUCCAUUUCUAUAAUCUUUCACCAGGUAAUGGGCAUGAUCUUGGUCAUUUCUAGUUAUCUUUAGCAAAAACAGUUAUCUCUUUCGAAAUGACAUUUUUGGCUACGAUUCUUGCAAUAUAUUAGCUACUAAAAAAAAAUUUCUCUUGUAUGGGUAGUUGGUUCGUGGUUCAACUAACAUGCACAAUCAUUUCACUCCCAAGUUGUUAACUUCGGACCAAAGAAUCGGCAUUAAGACACCAACUCUAGCCUACCUAAAAUAGACCGAAAUCAAAACUCAUUAUUAAGUACAUCUUUUUGAAGUGCAAUUUCUGAUAUUUUUUACAUGAUCUAAGUGUCUAGUGCAGUUCUUUUUUUGUUGCUUUUUUAAAAAAAUAAAAAAUAGGAGACUUCCUGAUGUUUGAGAUUAAACUUUUUUCAUUAUUUUCAUCAAAGUUAUUAAGAAAAUUAUUAAAUACUUGCGGAGAUUAAAAUCUUAACUUUUGGCAAACUUAUAAGACUCAAAUUAUUCAAUGCAUACUUAAAAGGACUAUUUUGAAUCUUUCUCAAACACAAGGGAUCAUUUUUGUCGCUUAAAAAAUAUUGUGUAUUUCAGUUCUCCCCUUGCAAUGUUCUACCCUGGAAAAUUGUAGAAGAAGAGUGUUGAGAGAAUUCAUCAGAGAAAUCCAAUGUGGGAGUGUUUCACUCCUCAAUGUGGGACUUUAUUACGUCACGAAUUCAAAUUGGAUCGGGCUCCAACGUGGAUACCGAACACUGGAUGGGAAACAAAACAAUAUAUGUAGUACGACAUGAAAUGAAUAAAUAAGGGGAUUUGGCCCUUAAGAAACAAAAAAAUCAAUGUUUUGUAUUGUGAUUGGGCCUGUCCUGAGAACAGACUCCAUUCACAAAAUAUAUGGAAGAAUUAUCACCACUCCUUUUUUAUCCUUGUUUGAUUUAUGACAUAUGAUUUAUCCUUUUUUCAAUUAUGUUUUUUUCAAAAAAUAUAAAAACUUAUUCAAGUUUAUAUUUUGUAAAAAAAACAAAUCAUUAUUUUCAGUUUUACAAAAAUAAACUCAUGUUCGACGUGAAUAGAUUGUCCGUCGUAUCAUGUGAAAGAAUUACUAGUUACUACUAUUGUUGACUAGUGGAUUUUUAUAAGUUUAUGUACAUUUGAAAGUUAAAAGAAACAUAAAUAUAUGUAAUUCAUCGAUGUGAUGCUUUAGAUAUUAUGAUAUCUUGUUUACGAACGAUGAUUUACUCAUUCGAUAAGAUUGCAUAAGAAUUGAUUUUCAUAGUUUUCACAACUUGUGUAUUUUCAUAUUUAUGAGAAAAAAUAUAACUUCAUGUCCGACCCAAUACCCAACCAUAAAAUCCCUUAAUUAUAUGGUAAGCAAGUAUCAUAGAAGUGUAUAGCUUAAGUACGAAACUAACAAACCACAUAAAUUUUUGGGGGAUUUUCCGAAAGAGUCAUCUGGUGUGAAGUAUGAAGUAUAAUAAUUUUGAGAUAAAAUAUAGAAUUAUUUUAUCCUGCGUUUGGUUGGAGGCAUGUUAGGUACAUAGUCCUUGGAUUAUGUAUCCCAUCAUUUAUACCAUAGUGAUGGAAUAUAUAAUUAAUUAUUAUCCCAUAUACAUAAUGAAAUAACGUAUUCCGGAAUAAUAACUCUCGAAACAACUUGUUCCAACCAAACAACCCCUAAAGAAAAAGGCAAAUAAUAUAGGUGUAUUAUUGAGUCAUUUUACAGCUACCACCUAAAGCAACUUGCUACUACAAUUCAUCUCUUGUUAGGUAUAAGAAUUAUUAGAGAGAGAGAGCAGAAGACUCUUCCUUCUUCCUUCAAACCUUCAUCCAUUUUAUUUCAAUAAACUUUUUUCUUAUUUCACCUAUUACGUAAACUUGGAAAUAUAUCUUUGUUGGAAUCCAAAUCUGAGAAAUUGAAGAUUCUUGUUUACUAACUGUAAGUCAUCUUCUUCAUGAAUUACUUUUUUCCCAUAGAUACAGAAUUAGAGAGUUGAUUUCUCAAAUGGUUCACUCAACUAUUAGUUAGUAUCUCAUAAAAUUGAAAAUGAAAGAAAGACGAUUUUUCUGAGAUAAUAAUUAGUUAAGUGACAUUUGACAAUAUGAAAAUGGUACAUAAGAUGUAUAACUUUUCACAAGCAUUAACAUAGCUUCAAACACUAGAUAUAUUGAAAGACAUGAACCUAAUUCCAUGAGUUGGUGAACUUGCAGGAAUUUUUCUGCAGAAAAUGAAUGAAAAUGAAAUUGAGGAAAUGUUAGAUCACCUAAGAAGGAUCAAAAUUGAAGGUAACCUGAGUACCUACAUGAUUUGGGAUAUUCAGGAUCUUGAAAUUGUGCUAAGAGUUUUUAGAACCUUUAUAAAGUAUCAUGUUCUUUUACCUGAUUGUUUAAUCAAACUCACAAAAGAAAGCCAAAAUGGACUGUGGAAACGCUUCAUCGGGUAUUUAAUGGGAUUCCGGAUGAAUGUAAAACUAACCUUAAUCUGAAAAGGCUAGAAUCACAUUUGUUGGAAUUCUUUGAAGGUAACUCCAGUUUAAGUUACAAUUAUGAGUUGAAUGAUUUUGAUCUGUCGAAAUAUAUGGAUUGUCUGGAAAAAAUUCUAAGUGAUGUACUAAUGAUGUUCCUGGAUAAGGAUAGGUCCUGUCAUCUCAAAAAAAAACUUGUAAUACAUCUAUCUAUGAAGAAACUGAAAAUUGUUCAAAAGAAAAUGAGAUUUUUGAGAUAUAUAUAUGCCACAGAGAUAAAUGGUUACGUCAACUAUGAUAAGCUGGAAUGUUUGGAGACUCGAAUUCAAUUUAUGGCUAACAAUGUGGGACAAUAUUGUUUGGCCGUAUUAGACUAUGUUGUUGUUGUUGAAGUUAAUGAUGAAAUUGAUUUCUUUAAUAAACCUCCUUAUCUAUUAUCAUUGCUUGUGUUUUGUGGAGCUGGAAAUGAAGAAGAUUUUUCAUGGUGAACUAAAGGCUUCAAAGUUUACUCAAUCAAAACCAUUCAAGGACAAGAAAUUACCAAAAGAAUUUUCACAUCAUCUCCACAAUCUGUUGAUGUAUCUCAAAAACAAAAACUUGAGAACUUUUCCUAAUAAUAUCUCUGCUCAAAAUAUUGAUGUGGCAAUAGAAUUCUUGUUGGUUUUCCUUGAUGCUGAUGUGUCAAAUCAUGUUAUUAAUGGUAACUGGUUGAAUGAGAUCUUGUUAAAGGUUGGAGCUAUAGCGGGUGAUGUUCUAUAUGUAAUUCAAAAGCUUCUUCCUAGAUCUAUAAACAAAGAUGACAAUAGCAAAAUAAGUCUUUGCUCGAUAGAGAUAUUGGAGAAGUCUAAAGAUUUGAAGGCACAAGUUGAGACGUGCUACAAAUCCUUAAAAUUUACUCCAUCUCAGUUCCCCACCUUUGGUGGAUUGAGCUUUCUGGAUUCUCUUUUAAGAAAAUUGCAUGAUAUGUUAUGUCGAAAUCUAAGUCUGGUUUAGAUUUCCUGAUGAAAC
RNAcentral lists this long non-coding RNA (20410 nucleotides) under Solanum tuberosum (potato). Its description in RNAcentral is "long non-coding RNA (STUB_LNC009493)". Lineage: Eukaryota; Viridiplantae; Streptophyta; Magnoliopsida; Solanales; Solanaceae. The record is from RNAcentral.